Callithrix jacchus (white-tufted-ear marmoset) is the source of this 1613-nucleotide long non-coding RNA. RefSeq lists it as uncharacterized. NCBI's taxonomy places the organism in Eukaryota, Metazoa, Chordata, Mammalia, Primates, Cebidae. The record is from RefSeq and is a predicted model, not a curated record.
CACUCCUAUGGAACCUCAGGAUACUGCUCCCCACAUCCUGGCCACUCCAGCUCCUGCGAUGUCUCAAAAAGGACAAGACUUCAGUUAAUGCUGGAAUGAGUUAAGACUCUGGAGGGACUACUGAGAAGGGAUGCCUGUAUGCUGAAAGUUUCCUGAGGCCUCCCUGGAAGUGAGGCAGAUUCCAGCACCAUACUUCCUGUACAGCCUGAUGAAUCAUAAGCCAAUUAAACCUCUUUUCUUUAUAAUUUACCAGUCUCCAAUAUUUUUUCAUAGAAAUGCAAGAACCGCCUAACACACAGUACAGAAGAGUAAAUACAGUACAUUCCCAUUUAUGGAAAUGUCAGCUGUCUCUGGGGAAGGGGUCUGAAGUGGCAGUAUAUACCCUAUGUACUGUUUGAGGUGUUUCAUUGUUUUUUUUUUUUAACCGCAUGCCUGUAUUACUUUCAAUUAGAAAAAGUAAAAGAAACCUAUAUACUGGUCAAGGAAAAUUCACAGGUGCCUGGGCCAAGGGACUGAGUUGCACAGGCUUACAAAAACACAGAACACAAAGCCAGACACAGAGGCACUCAAUAAAUAGCUGGAGGAAGCAAAAUAUUUGGAAUCAAUUCAGAAUUCAGAAGGCAGACCCUGGACAAACAGAUCUCUAUCUCAGCACUGGACACGCACCCCGAACAGCCGUUGCUUUACACAAGGAGCUAAGCUGAGAUUGCGAACGUUAGAAAAGAAAGGGAGCAUAAAAACCAAAUACCCUGGAUUUACUUUGGAGCCAGCUGUUCCUCAGCAUUCCUUUGCAAGCACAUUAUGUGUCCUAACCAACCUCAGCCUUCUAAGGGAUGGGAAGGCAAGUCCUUCCGCCAGAGAGCAGAGCCCACCCCUAGCACUGCUGUUGUGGUCCAAGUGCCCAGACAGUUCUGGGCAGCCUUUCCUCCAGCCCCUCCAAAUGAGAAGAAACAAAAUGACCCUGACAGUUUCACUGCACUCCAAAGACAAUCUGAGCACUUCAGCUCCUUUUCCACACCAAGGCUUCAGAAAAGAAAACCAAAAAAAAGGCGAAGGUGGAUCGGUAAGCAAAAUCCCUUAGUAGCAUUUGGUAAAAGGAACUCCCUGGGUUAUGCGUGGAUUCUUUCAGAUGUCAGAGAAGCCAGCAGCUCCAGAAUGCAAAAUGGACAGAGAAGGAAAGUGCUCAAACUCAAGACAGCCUCGCAAAUUUCUCUUUGUUCCCUGCUUUAUUUGGAUAUGCCUCCCUGAAGCCAGCUAGUUGGUCCCAGCUUCCAAAAAAGUUUGUUUGGCCACUGAUACUAGGUCUAGGAGCUUCUGUGCUUGUCAGCCUUGUCUGGCCGCCUCUGGAUACCUGGCUUGCAUGGGGCAAGCAUGUAGGUUAUCAUUCUGCAGAUACAGGCUGUGUGACCAAGUGCAAGCUCCAGAGGCAUGAUGGGAGUACGGCAAAGCAAGGACCUGGAGUAGGAACCAGUUGAAGGUAGAAUCCUUUCCAGGAACCCACAGACUCCAGAGCAUAGGAGAAUAUGACUGGCUGUGGGAAGCAGGGUUUCUGGCUCUUGGGCCUCACACCGGGCUGUCUAGUCAGCAGAAGGAAACAGGAGCACUUACCGGGG